AAAACUGCAUUUUACCCCUAUGUUCUAUUUUUAGCCGUGGCGGCCAUCUUGGUUGGUUGACCAGGUCACGCCACACAUUUUUUAAACUAGAUACCCCAAAGAUGAUUGUGGCCAACUUUGGAUUAAUUUGGCCCAUUAGUUUCAGAGGAGAAGAUUUUUGUAAAAGAUUACUUAGAUUUAUGAAAAAUGGUUAAAAAUUGACUAUAAAGGGCAAUAACUCCUUAAGGGGUCAACUGACCAUUUCGGUCAUGUUGACUUAUUUGUAAAUCUAACUUUGCUGAACAUUAUUCCUGUUUACAGUUUAUCUCUAUCUAUAAUAAUAUUCAAGAUAAUAACCAAAAACGGCAAAAAUUUCCUCAAAAUUACCAAUUCAGGGGCAGCAACCCAACAACAGGUUGACCGAUUCAUCUGAAAAUUUCAGGGCAGAUAGAUCUUGACCUGAUAAACAUUUUUACCCCACAUCAGAUUUCCUCUAAAUGCUUUGGUUUUUGAGUUAUAAGCCAAAAACUGCAUUUUACCCCUAUGUUCUAUUUUUAGCCGUGGCGGCCAUCUUGGUUGGUUGACCGGGUCACGCCACAUAUUUUUUAAACUAGAUACCCCAAAGAUAAUUGUGGCCAAGUUUGGUUCAAUUUGGCCCAGUAGUUUCAGAGGAGAAGAUUUUUGUAAAAGUUAACGACGACGGACGACGGACGACAGACGACGGACGACGACGACGACGACGCCGGACGCAAAGUGAUGGGAAAAGCUCACUUGGCCCUUCGGGCCAGGUGAGCUAAAAAUGACUAAA
RNAcentral lists this long non-coding RNA (787 nucleotides) under Mytilus galloprovincialis (Mediterranean mussel). Lineage: Eukaryota; Metazoa; Mollusca; Bivalvia; Mytilida; Mytilidae. The record is from RNAcentral.